CCUACGGGGGGCAGCAGUGGGGAAUAUUGGACAAUGGGCGCAAGCCUGAUCCAGCAAUGCCGCGUGAGUGAAGAAGGUCUUCGGAUUGUAAAGCUCUUUCGACGGGGAGGCGGUACCCGUAGAAGAAGCCCCGGCUAACUUCGUGCCAGCAGCCGCGGUAAUACGAAGGGGGCUAGCGUUGCUCGGAAUGACUGGGCGUAAAGGGCGCGUAGGCGGUGAACACAGUUAGGCGUGAAAUUCCCGGGCUCAACCUGGGGGCUGCGUUUAAUACAUGUUCGCUUGAGUUCGGAAGAGGGUCGUGGAAUUCCCAGUGUAGAGGUGAAAUUCGUAGAUAUUGGGAAGAACACCGGUGGCGAAGGCGGCGACCUGGUCGAACUGACGCUGAGGCGCGAAAGCGUGGGGAGCAAACAGGAUUAGAUACCCUUGUAGUC
Molecule: ribosomal RNA, 431 nt
Filed under: uncultured bacterium
Lineage: Bacteria
Description: partial 16S ribosomal RNA
Rfam family: Bacterial small subunit ribosomal RNA
Source: RNAcentral